This is a long non-coding RNA of Loxodonta africana (African savanna elephant), 1482 nucleotides long. RefSeq lists it as uncharacterized. The transcript has 2 exons. NCBI's taxonomy places the organism in Eukaryota, Metazoa, Chordata, Mammalia, Proboscidea, Elephantidae. The record is from RefSeq and is a predicted model, not a curated record.
CGCUGCUCCCUAGCAAAGGCAUAGUCCAGAAGAGCCAACUCCCUCCACGACUUUUGGCCUUGGCUGGCCUUUUCGAAAAAGCAGAGAAGGAAUGACUUUCGGGACGAUCCCUGCAGGCGAGGUCAGCACCGAGAAAGGUGAGAGGACCCGGACUUCUCAGAGCUCAGUGCAGGGGGCUCUACUGCCGAUUUGAAGAGAAAGAGUUUAGCUUAAGGGUCUCUGGAGGUCUAUUGGUUAGAAUUUGGCACAUUCAUCCUGCGGCCUGGAUUUGAUUGCCUCCGGGUCAGGGAAAUCUUUAGGCAAUGCCUCUCUUCUAACUGGACCCUUCCUCUUUAUCCCCGUAGUGCUGGCGUGCUGUGAGGGCCAGGUGCAGAAGAGCCCCACACAGAGGGUCCCAAAACUCUGGUGAAGGAGGGGACAUAAUGGUGACUGUGUGAUAGGGUAGUUGUGGCCUACCAAGAGGAUUGGUCAGUUUUGCCUUAAAAGAGAGCCAAUUCCAGAGCAGAGAGGAGGAGCCCACCACCAAGGAAGCAGAGACCAACAGGAGAGACCCAGCAGCAGAGACCAGGCAGCAGGGGACUGCACAAUGGACUUCCCAGUCCAUGGAGAGAGAAAGUGGAGUGCCUUUGGGCAGAGACUAAGGGCCAGGGAGAGGUGGUGCCUGAGAGCACAGCUGGGGAGAGGCUAUCCUGAUGAAAGAACUAUAUCCUGAGUGUUCCUGAGCCUGAAUUACAACUAUUAUCUCCCUUAGAAUAAACUCCAUAAACAUGAGUUUGGUCUUUGAGUUCUGUGUAGCCAUCUCGAUGAAUUAUCAAACCCAGUAGAAAGUGCUGUGGGAGGGACAGUUGGUGUCAGAAUUGGUAAAGAUGGUGGAGAGAGGAGGCUUGUCUGGCCUCCACCACGUGGGAGCCAGCCUUAUGCUGUUGAAUUUCAUUCUCCUUUCCCCUUGUGAAGUUAGAGGAGGUCAGACAUCGUCCCUAUGCGUUUUUUACACGAGAAAGGAAAAGCUUAUGGAAGGGAAUUGCCAAGUUGUAUGUAAAAACUCAGCCCAACAAAAGACCAGACUUAAUGGUCUGCCUGAGACUAGAAGGACCCCGGUGGUCGUGGCCCCCAGACCUUCUGUUGGCCCAGGACAGGAACCAUUCCUGAAGCCAACUCUUCAGACAUGGAUUGGACUGGACAAUGGAUUGGAGAGGGAUGCCGGUGAGGAGUGAGCUUCUUGAAUCAGGUGGACACUUGAGACUAUGUUGGCAUCUCCUGCCUGAAGAGGAGAUGAGAGGGUGGAGGGGGUUAGGAGCUGGCGAAAUGGACAGGAAACAAGAAAGUGGAGGGAGACAGCGGGCUGUCUCAUUGCGGAGAGAGUAAUUGGGAGUGUGUAGCAAGGUAUAUAUGGGUUUUUAUGUGAGAGACUGACUGGAUUUGUAAACUUUCACUUAAAGCACAAUAAAAAUUAUUAAAAAAAAAAAAAAAACUCAGCCCAAA